This 274-nucleotide ribosomal RNA is filed under the name uncultured bacterium. RNAcentral's name for it is "partial 16S ribosomal RNA". It matches the Rfam family "Bacterial small subunit ribosomal RNA", at positions 523 to 796 of the family's 1533-position model. The record is from RNAcentral.
AUACGAAGGGGGCAAGCGUUGUUCGGAAUAACUGGGCGUAAAGCGCACGUAGGCGGAAUGUUAAGUUAGAGGUGAAAUCCCAGGGCUCAACCCUGGAACUGCCUUUAAUACUGGCAAUCUAGAGACCGAGAGAGGUGAGUGGAAUUCCGAGUGUAGAGGUGAGAUUCGUAGAUAUUCGGAGGAACACCAGUGGCGAAGGCGGCUCACUGGCUCGGUACUGACGCUGAGGUGCGAAAGCGUGGGGAGCAAACAGGAUUAGAAACCCUUGUAGUCC